Molecule: long non-coding RNA, 1505 nt
Organism: Cyprinus carpio carpio
Lineage: Eukaryota; Metazoa; Chordata; Actinopteri; Cypriniformes; Cyprinidae
Source: Ensembl
AAUUGAAUUGUGAAAUCAAAAUUGUGAAUCGCAUCAUGAGUUGAGUGAACCGUUACAUCCCUAGUGUCUUGAAAAGUAGUUUGACCAACUAGCAGUUGCCAAGAGGAAAUCAGUCUUACUUUUCCAAUACAAAUAAGACCACUCUACCUUUUCAUAACAAAUUAAAAAGUUAUGACCAGUCUUGAAGAAAAAAAAUUUGAUGACUAACUUUUUAAGACUAGUCUAAACAGUUUAUGUGUGUGAGCGUGUGGUGAGGAGCGUGUAUUGUGUGUGUGUGCGUGGGGUGAGGAGCGUGUAUUGUGUGUGUGAGCGUGUGGUGAGGAGCCUGUAUUGUGUGUGUGAGCGUGUGGUGAGGAGCGUGUAUUGUGUGUGUGUGCGUGUGGUGAGGAGCGUGUAUUGUGUGUGUGAGCGUGUGGUGAGGAGCGUGUAUUGUGUGUGUGAGCGUGUGGUAAGGAGCCUGUAUUGUGUGUGUGAGUGUGUGGUGUGGAGCGUGUAUUGUGUGAGCGUGUGGUAAGGAGCCUGUAUUGUGUGUGUGAGCGUGUGGUGUGGAGCGUGUAUUGUGUGUGUGAGCGUGUGGUGAGGAGCGUGUAUUGUGUGUGUGAGCGUGUGGUGUGGAGCGUGUAUUGUGUGUGUGAGUGUGUGGUGAGGAGCGUGUAUUGUGUGUGUGAGCGUGUGGUGAGGAGCGUGUAUUGUGUGUGUGAGCGUGUGGUGAGGAGCCUGUAUUGUGUGUGUGAGCGUGUGGUGAGGAGCCUGUAUUGUGUGUGUGAGCGUGUGGUGAGGAGCGUGUAUUGUGUGUGUGAGCGUGUGGUGAGGAGCGUGUAUUGUGUGUGUGAGCGUGUGGUAAGGAGCCUGUAUUGUGUGUGUGAGCGUGUGGUUGGAGCCUGUAUUGUGUGUGUGAGCGUGUGGUGAGGAGCCUGUAUUGUGUGUGUGAGCGUGUGGUGAGGAGCGUGUAUUGUGUGUGUGAGCGUGUGGUGAGGAGCCUGUAUUGUGUGUGUGAGCGUGUGGUGAGGAGCGUGUAUUGUGUGUGUGAGCGUGUGGUAAGGAGCCUGUAUUGUGUGUGUGAGCGUGUGGUGAGGAGCGUGUAUUGUGUGUGUGAGCGUGUGGUGAGGAGCGUGUAUUGUGUGUGUGAGCGUGUGGUGUGGAGCGUGUAUUGUGUGUGUGAGAGUGUGGUGAGGAGCGUGUAUUGUGUGUGUGAGCGUGUGGUGAGGAGCGUGUAUUGUGUGUGUGAGCGUGUGGUGAGGAGCGUAUAUUGUGUGUGGCGUACAUGUUUGAGAAGGGCCAGGAUGUAGAGCGGGAGCAGACGCAGGCAGGCGGGGGUCAGCAGGCCGGGCUGAGGGACGGUCAGCACAGAGGAGCGGUAGGAUGCCAGCGAGUCGAUUGCAGCGUUGAUCAGAGCGUCACGAGCAUCACUCAGACUCGCCGACACACAGCGAUCCACGGCUGAACCACAAACACACAUCAGAACAAACACAGAUCAGAACAAACACACAUCAGAACAAACACAC